RNAcentral lists this long non-coding RNA (408 nucleotides) under Nicotiana tabacum (common tobacco). Its description in RNAcentral is "long non-coding RNA (NTAB_LNC000292)". The record is from RNAcentral. Lineage: Eukaryota; Viridiplantae; Streptophyta; Magnoliopsida; Solanales; Solanaceae.
CAACAAACUCCGUUCUACAGGCGGGUCUCCUAUUGGUAAGAUUAAACUUAGGAAGUGCGUCUCCUAUGGUGAAACUAAACUGAGGAAGUGCGUCUCCUAUUGGUAAUGACAUGCCUGCAUUUAUACUUGUGGGCGACCUAGAAUAUGGAAUGAACAGACAAAAUGUAUUCCCGCAUUAUACUGGUGGGCGACCUAGAACAUAAAUGUAUUCCCGCAUUAUACUGGUGGGCGACCUAGAACUUAAAUGUAUUCCCGCAUUUUACUGGUGGGCGACCUAGAACUUAAAUGUAUUCCCGCAUUUUACUGGUGGGCGACCUAGAACUUAAAAGUAUUCCCGCAUUUUACUGGUGGGCGACCUAGAACUUAAAUGUAUUCCCGCAUUAUACUGGUGGGCGACCUAGAACUUAA